RNAcentral lists this ribosomal RNA (433 nucleotides) under uncultured bacterium. Its description in RNAcentral is "partial 16S ribosomal RNA". It matches the Rfam family "Bacterial small subunit ribosomal RNA", at positions 29 to 507 of the family's 1533-position model. The record is from RNAcentral.
AACGAACGCUGGCGGCAUGCCUAACACAUGCAAGUCGAACGAGACCUUCGGGUCUAGUGGCGCCCGGGUGCGUAACGCGUGGUAACCUGCCCUUAGGUUCGGCAUAACUCCCCGAAAGGGGUGCUAAUACCGGAUAAUGUCUUCGGACCAAAGAUUUAUCGCCUUUGGAUGUGCCCGCGUUGGAUUAGCUAGUUGGUAGGGUAAAAGCCUUCCAAGGCGACGAUCCAUAGCUGGUCUGAGAGGAUGAUCAGCCACACUGGGACUGGGACACGGCCCAGACUCCUACGGGAGGCAGCAGUGGGGAAUAUUGGACAAUGGGCGAAAGCCUGAUCCAGCAAUGCCGCGUGAGUGAUGAAGGCCUUAGGGUUGUAAAGCUCUUUUAACCGGGAUGAUAAUGACAGUACCGGGAGAAUAAGCACCGGCUAACUCCGUG